GAUGAACGCUGGCGGCGUGCCUAAUACAUGCAAGUCGAGCGAACAGACGAGGAGCUUGCUCCUCUGACGUUAGCGGCGGACGGGUGAGUAACACGUGGAUAACCUACCUAUAAGACUGGGAUAACUUCGGGAAACCGGAGCUAAUACCGGAUAAUAUAUUGAACCGCAUGGUUCAAUAGUGAAAGACGGUUUUGCUGUCACUUAUAGAUGGAUCCGCGCCGCAUUAGCUAGUUGGUAAGGUAACGGCUUACCAAGGCAACGAUGCGUAGCCGACCUGAGAGGGUGAUCGGCCACACUGGAACUGAGACACGGUCCAGACUCCUACGGGAGGCAGCAGUAGGGAAUCUUCCGCAAUGGGCGAAAGCUUGACGGAGCAACGCCGCGUGAGUGAUGAAGGUCUUCGGAUCGUAAAACGCUGUUAUUAGGGAAGAACAAAUGUGUAAGUAACUAUGCACGUCUGGACGGUACCUAAUCAGAAAACCACGGCUAACUACGU
This 496-nucleotide ribosomal RNA is filed under the name uncultured bacterium. Its description in RNAcentral is "partial 16S ribosomal RNA". It matches the Rfam family "Bacterial small subunit ribosomal RNA", at positions 28 to 506 of the family's 1533-position model. The record is from RNAcentral.